AACGGAAAUCAGGGAGCUUGCUCCCUGUGAUUAGUGGCGAACGGGUGAGUAACACGUGAGCAACCUGCCCCUAACUUUGGGAUAACUUCGGGAAACCGGGGCUAAUACCAAAUACGACCCAUGAGGGCAUCCUCUGUGGGUGGAAAGAAUUUCGGUUGGGGAUGGGCUCGCGGCCUAUCAGCUUGUUGGUGGGGUAACGGCCUACCAAGGCAUCGACGGGUAGCCGGCCUGAGAGGGUGAUCGGCCACACUGGGACUGAGACACGGCCCAGACUCCUACGGGAGGCAGCAGUGGGGAAUAUUGCACAAUGGGCGCAAGCCUGAUGCAGCCACGCCGCGUGGGGGAAGAAGGCCUUCGGGUUGUAAACCUCUUUUGGCAGGGAAGAAGCGAAAGUGACGGUACCUGCAGAAAAAGCGCCGGCUAACUACGUGCCAGCAGCCGCGGUAAUACGUAGGGCGCGAGCGUUGUCCGGAAUUAUUGGGCGUAAAGAGCUCGUAGGCGGUUUGUCACGUCUGCCGUGAAAAGUGCGCGAGGCUCAACCUCGGACCUGCGGUGGGUACGGGCAGGCUAGAGUGCGAUAGGGGAGAGCGGAAUUCCUGGUGUAGCGGUGAAAUGCGCAGAUAUCAGGAGGAACACCGAUGGCGAAGGCAGCUCUCUGGGUCGCUACUGACGCUGAGGAGCGAAAGCGUGGGGAGCGAACAGGAUUAGAUACCCUGGUAGUCCACGCCGUAAACGUUGGGCGCUAGACGUGGGGGUGGUUCCACCGCUUCCGUGUCGCAGUAACGCAUUAA
Molecule: ribosomal RNA, 791 nt
Filed under: uncultured Tropheryma sp.
Lineage: Bacteria; Bacillati; Actinomycetota; Actinomycetes; Micrococcales; Tropherymataceae
Description: bacterial SSU rRNA
Rfam family: Bacterial small subunit ribosomal RNA
Source: RNAcentral